GAUGAACGCUGGCGGCGUGCCUAAUACAUGCAAGUCGAGCGAACAGACGAGGAGCUUGCUCCUCUGACGUUAGCGGCGGACGGGUGAGUAACACGUGGAUAACCUACCUAUAAGACUGGGAUAACUUCGGGAAACCGGAGCUAAUACCGGAUAAUAUAUUGAACCGCAUGGUUCAAUAGUGAAAGACGGUUUUGCUGCCACUUAUAGACGGAUCCGCGCCGCAUUAGCUAGUUGGUAAGGUAACGGCUUACCAAGGCGACGAUGCGUAGCCGACCUGAGAGGGUGAUCGGCCACACGGGAACUGAGACACGGUCCAGACUCCUACGGGAGGCAGCAGUAGGGAAUCUUCCGCAAUGGGCGAAAGCCUGACGGAGCAACGCCGCGUGAGUGAUGAAGGUCUUCGGAUCGUAAAACUCUGUUAUUAGGGAAGAACAAAUGUGUAAGUAACUAUGCACGUCUUGACGGUACCUAAUCAGAAAGCCACGGCUAACUACGUG
Molecule: ribosomal RNA, 497 nt
Filed under: uncultured bacterium
Lineage: Bacteria
Description: partial 16S ribosomal RNA
Rfam family: Bacterial small subunit ribosomal RNA
Source: RNAcentral